This 1758-nucleotide ribosomal RNA is filed under the name Lankesteria didemni. Its description in RNAcentral is "SSU rRNA". It matches the Rfam family "Eukaryotic small subunit ribosomal RNA". Lineage: Eukaryota; Apicomplexa; Conoidasida; Eugregarinorida; Lecudinidae. The record is from RNAcentral.
CCCUUGCGCUACCUGGUUGAUCCUGCCAGUAGUCAUAUGCUUGUCUCGCAGAUUAAGCCAUGCAUGUCUAAGUGUAAAUAUUUUACAGUGAAACUGCGGAUGGCUCAUUACAACAGUUAUUGUUUGCUUGGAGCAUUUGCUACGGAUAUCCGUGGAAAUCCUACAGUUAAUACGUGUCACCCCAUUGGGGUUUUGCAUAUUACUGUGAACUUUCGGCGAAAUCUUUCGUCAUCCAUGAGCACUUUUAUGCGGGAAUCGCAAUCAGUUGCGAAAGUCCAUCAAAGUUUCUGACCCAUCAGGUUCCGACGGUAAGGUAUUGGCUUACCGUGCCUAUAACGGGUAACGGGGGAUUAGGGUUCGAUCCCGGAGAGGGAGCUUGAGAGAUCGCUACCACAUCUAAGGAAGGCAGCAGGCGCGCAAAUUACCAAUCCCUGACUCAGGGAGGUAGUAAACAGAAAUAAUGACGCACGACUAUGUCGUGCGAUCGGAAUGAAUGGUUUUUAAACAAAACCAUGAAAUCGAUUGGAGGAAAAGUCUGGUGCCAGCACCCGCGGUAAUACCAGCUCCAAUAGCGUAUAUUAUUGUUGUUGCAGUUGAAACGUUCGUAGUCGAACUUUAUCUGCUAAAGUAGUGUGCCAUCGACGAUGAUACUCUACUCUCAGCAGAGAUUGUGCAAGGUUUUGUGUGUUUCACACAUGCUCUUGCAUCUUACUUUGAGUGAAUCGGCGUGUUCCACGCAGGCGUCCGCCUUGAACGAUUUACCAUAGCAUAACCAGAGUAUGGAGGUGUUUCUUUGUUAGUUCGGAAGCAUUUUCGAUACAGAAAAGAACGGUUGAGGGCAUUCGUAUUCAACUGCUAGAGGUGAAAUUCUUUGAUUAGUUGAGGACGAACCAUUGCGAAAGCAUCUGCCAAGGACGUUUCUUUUGAUCAAGAACGAAAGUUAGGUGAUCGAAGAUGAUUAGAUACCGUUGUAGUCCUAACUAUAAACUUUACUAUCCAAGAAUUGGAUUGGUGACUUUACGCCUUUCCAGUGCUUUCUGAGAAAUCAUAAGUCUUUGAGUUCUGGGGGGAGUAUAGUUGCAAGGCCGAAACUUAAAGGAAUUGACGGAAGGGCACCACCAGGAGUGGAACUUGCGGCUUAAUUUGACUCAACACGGAAAACCUUACGAGGAUAAGACAAACGAAGGAUUGACAGAUUGAUCGCUCUUUCUUGAUUGUUUGGGUGGUGGUGCAUGGCCGUUCUUAGUUCGUGGAUUAAUUUGUCUGGUUAAUUCCGUUAACGAACGAGACCUUAACUUGCUAAUUGGGUUUCUGUUAUUGUAUAACUGAACCUGUUAGAGGGACCAUGUGUGUCUAACACAAGGAAGCGUGAGGCAAUAACAGGUCUGUGAUGCCCUUAGAUAUCCUCGGCAGCACGCGUGUUACAAUGAUGGAUAUACUGUGUUACGCUUUUCGAAAGAACGGUGCAAUCAUUAAUAUCUAUCAACCCAGGGAUUGCUUGUUGGAACGUCAAGCAUCAACGAGGAAUUCCUAGUAAGCGCGUAUCAUUAGUUCGCGUUGAUUACGUCCCUGCCCUUUGUACACACCGCCUGUCGCAUCUAUUGAUUAGGUUGUAUCAUGAGUUAGGCGGAGGUUGGACGUGGGAAGCGAUUCCUUCGUACUCCCGAAGCUUUGCAAAUGGUGCUACCCAGAAACAGAUAAAGUCAUAACACGGCAGCUGUAGGUGAACCUGCAGAAGGAUCAAGGGCGAAUUCCACA